UGAGUAACCUGCCCUUAACUCUGGGAUAAGCCUGGGAAACUGGGUCUAAUACCGGAUAUGACUCCUCAUCGUAUGGUGGGGGGUGGAAAGCUUUAUUGUGGUUUUGGAUGGACUCGCGGCCUAUCAGCUUGUUGGUGAGGUAAUGGCUCACCAAGGCGACGACGGGUAGCCGGCCUGAGAGGGUGACCGGCCACACUGGGACUGAGACACGGCCCAGACUCCGUACGGGAGGCAG
Molecule: ribosomal RNA, 235 nt
Filed under: uncultured bacterium
Lineage: Bacteria
Description: partial 16S ribosomal RNA
Rfam family: Bacterial small subunit ribosomal RNA
Source: RNAcentral